GGCUAAGUCCUUGAGGCUGAGUUCUGGACCUUCGGGGACCGGUCUCUCAGCCAAGGACCGGUCUCUCAGGGACCGGUCUCUCACCGCAAGGACCGGUCCCCGAGCGCGAAAAUGGCCCAGUUCGGGCUGUUGCAAGAGAGGCUUUGUUGAGGGGUUUUUAUGCAAUUUUGCACUAAUGAGAGGCUAUAGAAGUGGGUUUUCACUCUCUCUUCUCAUUCUCUCAACCCUAACACCUCAAAACACCUCUCUCUCUCUCUCUAAACGUGAAGAAGAAAGAGGAGAAGAGAAGGAAGGAAAAAGGAGGAAAAAGGAGAGGAGAAGAAGGGGAUCCUCACCACCAUCAUCAUCUUCUUCUUCCUCUCACCAUUAGAGCAAGCUUAGCAAGGUAAGCUUCAAACCCUACCAUGGUAGAUUUCUAGAGUUUGAUCCUAAUGCUUUAGAAAUGGGUUUAAUAGCCUUUCUAGAUGCUAAUUAGUUGGAUUAUGCUUAGAUCCAAGGGUUUAAUGGUGGAUUUUUGCAUAGUAGCAAAUCUAGGGCUCC
This 540-nucleotide long non-coding RNA is filed under the name Ananas comosus (pineapple). RNAcentral's name for it is "long non-coding RNA (ACOM_LNC027938)". The record is from RNAcentral. Lineage: Eukaryota; Viridiplantae; Streptophyta; Magnoliopsida; Poales; Bromeliaceae.